RNAcentral lists this ribosomal RNA (506 nucleotides) under uncultured soil bacterium. RNAcentral describes it as "bacterial SSU rRNA". It matches the Rfam family "Bacterial small subunit ribosomal RNA", at positions 26 to 518 of the family's 1533-position model. The record is from RNAcentral.
AGGACGAACGCUGGCGGCGUGCUUAACACAUGCAAGUGGAGCGACGAACCGGGGCUUGCCCCGGGGCAGAGCCGCGAACGGGUGAGUAACACGCGGGUAACCCACCCCGAUGACCGGGACAACCCGAGGAAACUCGGGCUAAUACCGGAUGUGCUCCUUGACCUUGAGGUCAAGGCGUAAAGAUAGCUUCGGCCUUCGCAUCGGGACGGGCCCGCGGCCCAUUAGCUUGUUGGUGGGGUAAAGGCCUACCAAGGCGACGAUGGGUAGCUGGUCUGAGAGGACGAUCAGCCACACUGGGACUGAGACACGGCCCAGACUCCUACGGGAGGCAGCAGUGGGAAUCUUGCGCAAUGCGCGAAAGCGUGACGCAGCAACGCCGCGUGGGGGAAGACGGCCUUCGGGUUGUAAACCCUUUCAGUUGGACGAAGCUCGCGGUGAAUAGCCGCUGGAGUGACGGUACCUUCACAAGAAACGCCCCGGACUAACCUACGUGACCAACACGCCGC